AUAUCAAUAAGCGGAGGAAAAGAAACCAACAGGGAUUGCCUCAGUAACGGCGAGUGAAGCGGCAAGAGCUCAAAUUUGAAAUCUGGCCUCCCCCGGGGGCCCGAGUUGUAAUUUGCAGAGGAUGUUUCGGGUGCGGCCGCCGUCUAAGUUCCUUGGAACAGGACGUCAGAGAGGGUGAGAAUCCCGUCUUGGGCGGGCGGUCCGCGCCCGUGUGAAGCUCCUUCGACGAGUCGAGUUGUUUGGGAAUGCAGCUCUAAGCGGGUGGUAAAUUUCAUCUAAAGCUAAAUAUUGGCCGGAGACCGAUAGCGCACAAGUAGAGUGAUCGAAAGGUUAAAAGCACCUUGAAAAGGGAGUUAAACAGCACGUGAAAUUGUUGAAAGGGAAGCGCUUGCGGCCAGACUCGGGGGCGGGGUUCAGCGGGUGCUCGUCGCCCGUGUAUUCCUCGUUUCCCGGGCCAGCAUCAGUUUCGACGGCCGGUCAAAGGCCCCCGGAAUGUGUCGUCUCUCGGGACGUCUUAUAGCCGGGGGUGCAAUGCGGCCCGUCGGGACUGAGGAACGCGCUCCGGCUCGGAUGCUGGCGUAAUGGCCGUAAGCGGC
Molecule: ribosomal RNA, 596 nt
Filed under: Trichophyton equinum
Lineage: Eukaryota; Fungi; Ascomycota; Eurotiomycetes; Onygenales; Arthrodermataceae
Description: eukaryotic LSU rRNA
Rfam family: Eukaryotic large subunit ribosomal RNA
Source: RNAcentral